CCUACGGGAGGCAGCAGUGAGGAAUAUUGGUCAAUGGACGAGAGUCUGAACCAGCCAAGUAGCGUGAAGGAUGACUGCCCUAUGGGUUGUAAACUUCUUUUAUAUGGGAAUAAAACGUUCCACGUGUGGGAUUUUGUAUGUACCAUAUGAAUAAGGAUCGGCUAACUCCGUGCCAGCAGCCGCGGUCAUACGGAGGGUCCGAGCGUUAUCCGGAUUUAUUGGGUUUAAAGGGAGCGUAGGUGGAUUGUUAAGUCAAUUGUGAAAGUUUGCGGCUCAACCGUAAAAUUGCAGUUGAAACUGGCAGUCUUGAGUACAGGAGAGGUGGGCGGAAUUCGUGGUGUAGCGGUGAAAUGCUUAGAUAUCACGAAGAACUCCGAUUGCGAAGGCAGUUCACUGGACUGCAACUGACACUGAGGCUCGAAAGUGUGGGUAUCAAACAGGAUUAGAUACCCUUGUAGUC
RNAcentral lists this ribosomal RNA (460 nucleotides) under uncultured bacterium. RNAcentral describes it as "partial 16S ribosomal RNA". It matches the Rfam family "Bacterial small subunit ribosomal RNA", at positions 338 to 795 of the family's 1533-position model. The record is from RNAcentral.